CAGUAGCCGCGGUAACACCAGCACCUCGAGUGGUCAGGAGGUUUAUUGGGCCUAAAGCAUCCGUAGCCGGUUGCAUAAGUUUUCGGUUAAAUCUAUGCGCUUAACGUAUAGGCCGCCGAAAAUACUGUGCAGCUAGGGAGUGGGAGAGGUACACGGUACUCGAUAGGAAGGGGUAAAAUCCUUUGAUCUAUUGAUGACCACCUGUGGCGAAGGCGGUGUACCAGAACACGUUCGACGGUGAGGGAUGAAAGCUGGGGGAGCAAACCGGAUUAGAUACCCCAGUAGUCCCUGUCUCUUAUAC
RNAcentral lists this ribosomal RNA (301 nucleotides) under uncultured bacterium. RNAcentral's name for it is "partial 16S ribosomal RNA". It matches the Rfam family "Archaeal small subunit ribosomal RNA", at positions 459 to 760 of the family's 1478-position model. The record is from RNAcentral.